Molecule: long non-coding RNA, 205 nt
Filed under: Solanum tuberosum (potato)
Lineage: Eukaryota; Viridiplantae; Streptophyta; Magnoliopsida; Solanales; Solanaceae
Description: long non-coding RNA (STUB_LNC002870)
Source: RNAcentral
UCCCUAUUUAGUUGUCUAUUUUGACAAAUCAAGAAAGGACAACAAAUUUUUUCCUAUUAUACCCUUAUUUACACUUCUUGAAAAUUGUAAAAGUGUAUGUUGUUUCCCUCCAAUUUAUUUCACUUGAAUUUAAAGAAGUGGUUGUAAUUUUAAAGUGAAAAGUUGUCAUAAGGGUAAAAUUGUAACUUCACUGUGCUAAUCAUUG